UACGGAGGGGACUAGCGUUGUUCGGAAUUACUGGGCGUAAAGCGCACGUAGGCGGAUUUGUAAGUCAGGGGUGAAAUCCCGGGGCUCAACCUCGGAACUGCCUUUGAUACUGCAAAUCUCGAGUCCGGAAGAGGUGAGUGGAAUUCCUAGUGUAGAGGUGAAAAUUCGUAGAUAUUAGGAAAGAACACCAGUGGCGAAGGCGGCUCACUGGUCCGGUACUGACGCUGAGGUGCGAAAAGCGUGGGGGAGCAAACAGGGAUUAAGAAA
Molecule: ribosomal RNA, 267 nt
Filed under: uncultured bacterium
Lineage: Bacteria
Description: partial 16S ribosomal RNA
Rfam family: Bacterial small subunit ribosomal RNA
Source: RNAcentral